This is a non-coding RNA of Caenorhabditis elegans, 81 nucleotides long. The record is from Ensembl. Lineage: Eukaryota; Metazoa; Nematoda; Chromadorea; Rhabditida; Rhabditidae.
AUUGUUGAUAGAUAAUAGGCACACAUACUAGGUGUCGAAUUCCAUCUGGUGGAAUGGGGUUAUCAAAACAAUAACAACCAU